AUUGAACGCUGGGGCAGGCCUAACACAUGCAAGUCGAGCGGAUGAAGGGAGCUUGCCCCUGGAUUCAGCGGCGGACGGGUGAGUAAUUCCCAGGAAUCUGCCUGGUAGGGGGGGAUAACGUCCGGAAACGGGGGCUUAUACCGCAUACGUCCUGAGGGGGAAAGUGGGGGGACUUCGGACCUCACGCUUUCCACUGAGCCUAGGUCGGAUUAGCUAGUUGGUGGGGUAAAGGCCUACCAAGGCGACGAUCCGUAACUGGUCUGAGAGGAUGAUCAGUCACACUGGAACUGAGACACGGUCCAGACUCCUACGGGAGGCAGCAGUGGGGAAUAUUGGACAAUGGGCGAAAGCCUGAUCCAGCCAUGCCGCGUGUGUGAAGAAGGUCUUCGGAUUGUAAAGCACUUUAAGUUGGGAGGAAGGGCAGUAAGUUAAUACCUUGCUGUUUUGACGUUACCAACAGAAUAAGCACCGGCUAACUUCGUG
Molecule: ribosomal RNA, 483 nt
Filed under: uncultured bacterium
Lineage: Bacteria
Description: partial 16S ribosomal RNA
Rfam family: Bacterial small subunit ribosomal RNA
Source: RNAcentral